RNAcentral lists this ribosomal RNA (322 nucleotides) under uncultured eukaryote. RNAcentral describes it as "partial 18S ribosomal RNA". It matches the Rfam family "Eukaryotic small subunit ribosomal RNA", at positions 1470 to 1796 of the family's 1831-position model. The record is from RNAcentral.
CCCUUAGAUGUUCUGGGCCGCACGCGUGCUACACUGAGUCAAUCAAUGGGUAAGGGAACACGAAAGUGCAACCUAAUCUUCAAAUUUGCUCGUGAUGGGGAUCGACGGUUGCAAUUUUCCGUCGUGAACGAGGAAUACCUUGUAGGCGCGUGUCAUCAUCACGCGCCGAAUACGUCCCUGCCCUUUGUACACACCGCCCGUCGCUCCUACCGAUUGAGUGAUCCGGUGAGGCUCUGGGACCUGGACGGAAAGAGCGUUUCGCUUGUUCUGUUUGGGAAACUUGGUCGAACCUUAUCAUUUAGAGGAAGGAGAAGGCGUAACA